This 67-nucleotide transfer RNA is filed under the name Marmota monax (woodchuck). RNAcentral describes it as "tRNA.Ala". The record is from RNAcentral. Lineage: Eukaryota; Metazoa; Chordata; Mammalia; Rodentia; Sciuridae.
GGUUAUGGCUCAGUGGUAGAGCACUUGCCUAGCAUAUGCAAGGCCCUGGGUUUAAUCCUCAGCACCA